CCUACGGGUGGCAGCAGUGGGGAAUAUUGCGCAAUGGGCGAAAGCCUGACGCGGCGACGCCGCGUGAGGGAUGAAGGUCUUCGGAUCGUAAACCUCUGUCAGCAGGGAAGAACGGUCACUGUGCUAAUCAGCAGUGAAUUGACGGUACCUGCAAAGGAAGCACCGGCUACCUCCGUGCCAGGAGCCGCGGUCAUACGGAGGGUGCGAGCGUUAGUCGGAAUUACUGGGCGUAAAGCGCUCGUAGGCGGUAUGGUAAGUCAAGGGGGAAAUCCCCGCGCUCAACGUGGGAACUGCCUUUGAAACUGGCAAACUGGAGUGUGUGAGAGGAUAGUGGAAUUCCAGGUGGAGGAGUGAAAUCCGUAGAUAUCUGGAGGAACAUCAGUGGUGAAGGCGACUAUCUGGCACAUAACUGACGCUGAGGAGCGAAAGCGUGGGUAGCAAACAGGAUUAGAUACCCCAGUAGUC
This 465-nucleotide ribosomal RNA is filed under the name uncultured bacterium. RNAcentral describes it as "partial 16S ribosomal RNA". It matches the Rfam family "Bacterial small subunit ribosomal RNA", at positions 338 to 795 of the family's 1533-position model. The record is from RNAcentral.